CGGACGAUCGACCGCAUCGCCAUAACUGUGGCAGUCGAGCGGUAACAGGCCCUUCGGGGUGCUGACGAGCGGCGGACGGGUGAGUAAUGCAUAGGAAUCUGCCCGGUAGUGGGGGAUAACCUGGGGAAACUCAGGCUAAUACCGCAUACGUCCUACGGGAGAAAGCAGGGGACCUUCGGGCCUUGCGCUAUCGGAUGAGCCUAUGUCGGAUUAGCUGGUUGGUGAGGUAACGGCUCACCAAGGCGACGAUCCGUAGCUGGUCUGAGAGGAUGAUCAGCCACAUCGGGACUGAGACACGGCCCGAACUCCUACGGGAGGCAGCAGUGGGGAAUAUUGGACAAUGGGCGCAAGCCUGAUCCAGCCAUGCCGCGUGUGUGAAGAAGGCCCUCGGGUUGUAAAGCACUUUCAGUGGGGAAGAAAUCCUCGUGGUCAAUACCCGCGAGGGAGGACAUCACCCACAGAAGAAGCACCGGCUAACUCCGUGCCAGCAGCCGCGGUAAUACGGAGGGUGCGAGCGUUAAUCGGAAUUACUGGGCGUAAAGCGCGCGUAGGCGGCGUGAUAAGCCGGUUGUGAAAGCCCCGGGCUCAACCUGGGAACGGCAUCCGGAACUGUCAGGCUAGAGUGCAGGAGAGGAAGGUAGAAUUCCCGGUGUAGCGGUGAAAUGCGUAGAGAUCGGGAGGAAUACCAGUGGCGAAGGCGGCCUUCUGGACUGACACUGACGCUGAGGUGCGAAAGCGUGGGUAGCAAACAGGAUUAGAUACCCUGGUAGUCCACGCCGUAAACGAUGUCGACUAGCCGUUGGGGUCCUUGAGACCUUUGUGGCGCAGUUAACGCGAUAAGUCGACCGCCUGGGGAGUACGGCCGCAAGGUUAAAACUCAAAUGAAUUGACGGGGGCCCGCACAAGCGGUGGAGCAUGUGGUUUAAUUCGAUGCACGCGAAGAACCUUACCUACCCUUUGACAUCCUCGGAAGCCGACAGAGAUGUUGGUGUGCCCUUCGGGAGCCGAGUGACAGGUGCUGCAUGUCCGUCGUCAACUCUGUCGUGAAUGUUGGGUUAAGUCCGAUACGAGCGCAACCAUUGUCCUUAUUGCCAGCGAGUCGGUCGGGAACUCUAGGAGACUGCAGUUGACAGCCGGAGUAGGUGGGGAUCGACGUCAGGUCAUCAUGGGCCUCACUGGUAGGGCUAUCCACGUGCUACAUGCGGUACCAUGGUUUGCAGUCCGAGUGACAAGUCCGACAGUCGUCCAUCCGGAUCCGCAACUGCGACGCUAGACUCGAG
Molecule: ribosomal RNA, 1280 nt
Filed under: Halomonas sp. HL32
Lineage: Bacteria; Pseudomonadati; Pseudomonadota; Gammaproteobacteria; Oceanospirillales; Halomonadaceae
Description: bacterial SSU rRNA
Rfam family: Bacterial small subunit ribosomal RNA
Source: RNAcentral